GUCCGCCAUUACCUCGUCAAAUAGAGAAGACACAAGAAGAAAUACGAGACAUUACACUGUUUAAAAGGUCAUGUUUGCAAUUGCCAGGGAACAAGCCAACCUGUUGGAUUCAACACUGCUGAUUUUUUCCCCAACAAUAAAACAAUCUAUUCCCAUCUCUUUCCUACCAAGACAAACAGAUCUUGGAAACCUUCCUUUCCAGUCUGCCUUCUAAAUUUCCCACUUUUUUCCAUCCAUCUCUUACUUUGAACAUCCUUUCAUAUCAAGGUAAAGUUCAAGUAUCUUUUUGCAUUGAUUUUCUGUGCAUUUGAUACAUUGAUGCGCAUUGCAAGAUUUAAUUUUUUUCAUUAAUCUGGUAUUUGAACUUUACCUAAGUCUUUAGUACCCUGCCACAGUCUUUCCCCUCUGAUGAAGUUUGUCAUUUGUGUUAUGCGUUUUAACUUUGUUGAUGUAAGCAUAGGCAAUGCAUUUCUCUUUCACCUGAUUUACCUCUUAAUUUCUUAAUUAAUUUUGCAUUUAUUUGCCUAUGCUUGACAUUAUGCUAUCCUUAUGUCUGAUGUCAUGUCUUAUGCAUGACUUAAAUCACAAUUUUCUAUUUUAUACUUACCUGCAUUACAUCCAGUUUUAACUGCAUUAGAGUUGUUUUCGUAAACUCAUGAAAUACAAUUAGCACUCUAUUUUUUUCAUAUCUCUUUUUUCAAUGAUUUUCAUAUUGCUUUUCCUAAUGAAUGAUGUAUAUACUACUAUUACAACCUAUUUCACUAAUGGUUAUUAUCCUUGAUGUGUUCUCACGGUUUUAUGAAAGUUACUCUAAUGUAUUCAUGGGGUAUUGCUGUGUAUCCUGGCUAGUGUUUUGCUUGCACCCAAGUGAAAACAAGACUGUUCUUUCACAAGUGUUUAUCACCAGACUGUGAAGUAGAGAAGUGAUUGGGUGGUGUAUUAUUGUCUGCAUGUGUGAAACUGUUGAGAAAAACUGUCCAAGUUGCCAAAUAUUGAACAUGCAACUAUAAUAGACUACCUGAAACAUCUAACAUAUAGCUGGUGACGCAACAGCUCGGAAGCUAUGCCUGGUUUUAAAACAUUCACUCCAAAUUUAUGUGAUGCUUAUAUUAUUCAAUAAGAAAAUGGUCUCUCGAGGCAACUGUGGCUAUAUAAGCUUCACUAUUUCACAGUCUGGCUAAAACAUUUUAAUGGUUAGAGGCCCAAGUGCAUCUGAGAGCCUCGUCCAUUGUAAUAUGCAACAUUCUCAGAUACCCAUGGACCUUUGAGUAUAAUCACAUUUGGAUCAUGUAUAAACUUGACUAGAAAUCUCUGGAUGACAAGUCUUGAUUUAUCAAUUUACUUGACGUUUCAACCAUUGCUUGCGACAUUUCAUACUCUUGAAAAUAAAAUGAACAUCAAGUAAACUGAUAAAUUAAGACCUGUCAAUCAAAACUUCAUAGUCAAGUACUAAUAUCGUAAGUAGUUUGUCAGAGUGAUCAGUCACAAACAGUCGAGGGGAGUAUCCUUGUUUCUUCACUUAAAGUGGGACAGGGAACCAAACACUAUUAAUAAAUACAAAGGAAAUUACAUGGAGACUUCCCCUUGAUUGUUUUGUCCCUGAUUACUCGUAUAAACAAAGUCUGGUUCACAUAAAGACAUCAGCAUAAGAAUUUUCACUUUGCUUUUUUUAUAUUAUGCUAAUUUCUUUUGUGUUUGACUUCUGAUUGUCUUUCUGUGAACCAGACUUAACAUUGUUGACAUUGUACAUCACCAAGGGGACUGGGCAUUGUGUAUCUUAUUCCCUUGGGAAUUAAAAUAUGACAAAAUAAAAUACUAUGGAUUACG
RNAcentral lists this long non-coding RNA (1827 nucleotides) under Exaiptasia diaphana. RNAcentral describes it as "uncharacterized LOC114574448". Lineage: Eukaryota; Metazoa; Cnidaria; Anthozoa; Actiniaria; Aiptasiidae. The record is from RNAcentral.